RNAcentral lists this long non-coding RNA (620 nucleotides) under Carica papaya (papaya). RNAcentral's name for it is "long non-coding RNA (CPAP_LNC007118)". The record is from RNAcentral. Lineage: Eukaryota; Viridiplantae; Streptophyta; Magnoliopsida; Brassicales; Caricaceae.
CACCUUUUCUGUCCUCUCGAGUUUUUAUCCCACCCGCGCCCCUUAGAUUGUCCUCUCACAUCCUCCUCACUCUGUUCUACCCGUACCACCCCCAUCCUUCCCCACGGCUCCCCACUCCAACACCGCAACACCUUCAAUUCCUCCCCCGGUCACCUCCGUGAGCGCGCAGGAUAACCCCACGCUUACGGCCUACCUUCACCGCUCCACUCCGUCGCGCCAUUGCCGACGCCGCAACCUGCAACAAAAACUCACUACACACACACACCACACCAAACAGCUCAAUUUUUACCGUACCUCCCGUUUCCAUCUUCCUUCUUCCUGCCGAUCGCGUCGUCCGUCCACGGCCUCCUUCCCUCUCCCUUCUCGCUCCCCUCCGCCCCGACUCUCUUCUCUCUCCUUCUGGAACUUUCCUCUUCUUCUUCGUCUCCGCUACCCUCCUUCCCUCCUUUUCUCUUUUUCUCUCUUUUUUUUUUCUCCUUUUCUUUUCCUUUUCUUUUUUUUCCUCUUCUCCCUUUCCCGACCUCCCUUUAUACUCUGCCAGCCUACCCCAACACGACGUCGUUUUCCUUCAUCCCAAAACGACGUCGUUUUCUUUUCUUUCAAAACGACGUCGUUUUUCC